CUGGCCCCGUGGCUUCCAGCCUGCUGUGGACUGCAGCACUUAGGAUUAACAGGGUGAAGAUUUGAUCAGAUGGUGGUGGUAAAAGAUGUGGCCUUUUGGAGGAGCUUGGGAUUAAGGUUCAUCAGACUGGAGCCCCAAGAUUGAAGACUGGGUGUGUUUAUAAAGAGAGGGAAUAAGUUGGAGACGUGGACACAGACAUGCUCUCUUCUGCCCCCCACCCUGUUACCCAUGAGCAAGCUGCUGCCCUUUGUCCUUGGAGCUAAGCCAUGAGCUGAAUAAACCUCUGUUUUUAUAAAUUG
This is a long non-coding RNA of Tupaia belangeri chinensis (Chinese tree shrew), 299 nucleotides long. RefSeq lists it as uncharacterized. The transcript is spliced from 2 exons. The record is from RefSeq and is a predicted model, not a curated record. Lineage: Eukaryota; Metazoa; Chordata; Mammalia; Scandentia; Tupaiidae.